This 74-nucleotide transfer RNA is filed under the name Candidatus Palibaumannia cicadellinicola. RNAcentral's name for it is "Candidatus Baumannia cicadellinicola tRNA". It matches the Rfam family "tRNA". From Rfam's summary of the family: Transfer RNA (tRNA) molecules are approximately 80 nucleotides in length. Their secondary structure includes four short double-helical elements and three loops (D, anti-codon, and T loops). The record is from Rfam by way of RNAcentral. Lineage: Bacteria; Pseudomonadati; Pseudomonadota; Gammaproteobacteria.
GCGUCCGUAGCUCAGCUGGUUAGAGCACUAUCUUGACAUGGUAGAGGUCGGGGGUUCAAAUCCACUCGGACGUA